Molecule: long non-coding RNA, 257 nt
Organism: Centruroides sculpturatus (bark scorpion)
Lineage: Eukaryota; Metazoa; Arthropoda; Arachnida; Scorpiones; Buthidae
Exons: 3
Source: RefSeq, a predicted model, not a curated record
UAAAGAAUUGGUGAAAACAGUGAAAAUUAACAAUGAAAAUGCCUUUGUCCUUCAACAAUUAGAGGUAAAGAAACUAAAUGGAAUCUUAUAUGUCAACGUGAGUGGAAAAGGAGUUGGAUCAUUAUCAGUAAAAUUAAGAUAUAAUGUAGCAAAUGUUGGAUAUCAAAUAUGCAAUUACAAAAUUACUGUACGUGUUUCUAAAGUAAAGGGGCAGUUUUCAGUACAGAAGAAUAGCAUUUAUUAUGAAAAAGGAAAUA